This 247-nucleotide ribosomal RNA is filed under the name uncultured Lactobacillus sp. RNAcentral describes it as "partial 16S ribosomal RNA". It matches the Rfam family "Bacterial small subunit ribosomal RNA", at positions 116 to 354 of the family's 1533-position model. The record is from RNAcentral. Lineage: Bacteria; Bacillati; Bacillota; Bacilli; Lactobacillales; Lactobacillaceae.
CGUGGGUAACCUGCCCAAGAGAUCGGGAUAACACCUGGAAACAGAUGCUAAUACCGGAUAACAACAGAUGAUGCCUAUCAACUGUUUAAAAGAUGGUUCUGCUAUCACUCUUGGAUGGACCUGCGGUGCAUUAGCUAGUUGGUAGGGUAACGGCCUACCAAGGCGAUGAUGCAUAGCCGAGUUGAGAGACUGAUCGGCCACAUUGGGACGUGAGACACGGCCCAAACUCCUACGGGAGGCAGCAGGG